GACGAACGCUGGCGGCGUGCUUAACACAUGCAAGUCGAACGCUGAAGCCCAGCUUUUGUUGGGUGGAUGAGUGGCGAACGGGUGAGUAACACGUGAGUAACCUGCCCCCUUCUUUGGGAUAACGCCCGGAAACGGGUGCUAAUACUGGAUAUUCACUGGUCUUCGCAUGGGGGUUGGUGGAAAGGGUUUUUCUGGUGGGGGAUGGGCUCGCGGCCUAUCAGCGUGUUGGUGGGGUGAUGGCCUACCAAGGCUUUGACGGGUAGCCGGCCUGAGAGGGUGACCGGUCACAUUGGGACUGAGAUACGGCCCAGACUCAUACGGGAGGCAGCAGUGGGGAAUAGUGCACAAUGGGCGCAAGCCUGAUGCAGCGACGCCGCGUGAGGGAUGGAGGCCUUCGGGUUGUGAACCUCUUUCGCUCAUGGUCAAGCCGCAACAAUGGUUGUGGUGAGGGUAGUGGGUAAAGAAGCGCCGGCUAACUACGUG
Molecule: ribosomal RNA, 483 nt
Filed under: uncultured bacterium
Lineage: Bacteria
Description: partial 16S ribosomal RNA
Rfam family: Bacterial small subunit ribosomal RNA
Source: RNAcentral